GAUGAACGCUGACAGAAUGCUUAACACAUGCAAGUCUACUUGAUCCUUCGAGUGAUGGUGGCGGACGGGUGAGUAACGCGUAAAGAACUUGCCCUGCGGUCUGGGACAACAUUUGGAAACGAAUGCUAAUACCGGAUAUUAUGUGAGUUUCGCAUGAAAUUCAUAUGAAAGCUAUAUGCGCUGCAGGAGAGCUUUGCGUCCUAUUAGCUAGUUGGUGAGGUAACGGCUCACCAAGGCGAUGAUAGGUAGCCGGCCUGAGAGGGUGAACGGCCACAAGGGGACUGAGACACGGCCCUUACUCCUACGGGAGGCAGCAGUGGGGAAUAUUGGACAAUGGACCAAAAGUCUGAUCCAGCAAUUCUGUGUGCACGAUGAAGUUUUUCGGAAUGUAAAGUGCUUUCAGUUGGGACGAAGUAAGUGACGGUACCAACAGAAGAAGCGACGGCUAAAUACGUGCCAGCAGCCGCGGUAAUACGUAUGUCGCAAGCGUUAUCCGGAUUUAUUGGGCGUAAAGCGCGUCUAGGCGGUUUGGUAAGUCUGAUGUGAAAAUGCGGGGCUCAACUCCGUAUUGCGUUGGAAACUGCCAAACUAGAGUACUGGAGAGGUGGGCGGAACUACAAGUGUAGAGGUGAAAUUCGUAGAUAUUUGUAGGAAUGCCGAUGGGGAAGCCAGCCCACUGGACAGAUACUGACGCUAAAGCGCGAAAGGGUGGGUAGCAAACAGG
Molecule: ribosomal RNA, 724 nt
Filed under: uncultured bacterium
Lineage: Bacteria
Description: bacterial SSU rRNA
Rfam family: Bacterial small subunit ribosomal RNA
Source: RNAcentral